GGCUCAAGAAACAUAUUACAAAUAUAUAACAAUUAUUUUACCAUUUAAGAUGUAUUUAUUUUACUUAAUUAUUCUUAAUAGUUAUAUAAAAUACUACUUAAUAGUAGGCUUAUAUUUAAGUCCUAUUGCAUUAUCAUAUCACAUUAAAUCAUACAGGACUUCUUAAUAUUACCAUUGGCCACACACUCAGUCAUUUGCUAUGAACGGAAAGCACCCCAUGUUCUGGCAAGUUUUUAAACAGACCAUUCCCAGAGAUCUAAAAAUAUAUGACCAUUAUCGUGGACAAAAACAGUUAAAUGAUACAGUGGUGUGGAAAUUCAGCACUGAAUACAAUGAAAAUCAACCAAUUUACCAUCCCAUCCUUCUAUUUAGUUACUCUCUGCUGAAACCAUAAAUCAGAGAAUAAUUUGUGCAAAUAUUAUUUUUUUCAGGUCACAAUUUUACUUACGACAGAAAAAAAUCUUUCUGCAAAGCAUUCAAUUCAGUUCAAGUUUAUUUGUAUAGCGUUUUCACAAUACAUAUUGUUUAAAAGCAGCAUGCAUGUUUCAAUUUUACAAUCAAUGUGUCAAAGUAAUGUCCAUAGUGCAGUAAUAUAGGCCACAGCCUUAAGAUAUGUGGUUUGUAAAUGUCAAAAUUAACAGUUAUACAGUGAUUAUAGCAUCAUAAUGAUUACAGUAUUAGGAUAGUAUCUGACUGUUUUGUAUGUUGAUCCAAAGUUGGCAUUGAAAGUAUUUUAUUGUAAUUUCUCCCUGGAGUUACAGCACAUAACUUGCAGUAAUUUCUCAACUGGUCUUUUCCUAUUUAUCGAAAUGCUAUUGACAGUAAAUUAUCACAUUAAAACAAUCAUGCAGUCUGAGAUAGCUUGUGAACUGAAUGCAGUUUUGUGCCGUGAAUCAAACGUAUUUACCCCAUCAAAGGCAACGCAAAGGGAGUCACCGCACUGUUUUGCUUGAGGUGAAUAACGUAUGAUCUGUUUACCAAGAUCUAUUUAUUCAUUCUGCUGGAGCAGUGGAGGAACACGAGGUGAGAGGCAGUUGAAUGCUUUCACUGGGGCCUCUUGCCAAACCAAACAUAUCCCCUUGGCAUCCUUACAUUAGUGUCAAUGGCUUACAUCCAUAAUAUGUUAGUGCAGCAGCUUUAGAAAUGAGACCCCAGCUGAGGAGGAAUGGCAAGCUGAAUAUGGGCUAAAUUUGGCACAGAAAUGUGCUCCUUGCAGGCUGAAAUUAUUCUAAUUGUAACCACAUAUGAUUUACUUAAUAUCAGUUAUUUUAAUGACAAUAUUUAUCACUGUGGUCGACUGUUGCAUCAUCCCUGGGUGACAUGAACACACACAAUGAAUGGCCUAUAAUUAUCUGAAAAUAUAUAUGCAUCUAUACGAACUGUAAAACAAGAUUGCAUGUUUCCAGAAAAAUGACACUGGAAAGACAUGGGGGGAAAAUUCUAGUCAACAUGAAACCCAUUUUACUUCUGUAAUUGUGUAGUGCAAGAGGAUUCCUGAAGAAUGAGGGGGAACUCCAUUGGGAAUUGACUGGACUGUGAAAAGUGGGCAUUCUGUACUAGAAUACAAAGAGGUGGUUGAAAAAUAAGAGCGAUUUGUGAUAACAAUCAUGUCAGAUGAGUUACAAGUUAUUACAUUUUGAUAAAAGACUGAUGAAUCAUGCACAAUAACACCUGUUGACUUAAAAUGUGAUACCUGGUUUGACAAAUGGUGGUAUAAUGUGCUGAGUAUAAAACCCACUGAGUAAUUUGUAUAACUAGAUAUUUCCCUUAAUGACUACCUAACAACAGUUGUGAAACAUGAAUAAUACAGUUUAAAUGAAAGGUUACAGCACACUGUUGAUUCUAUGCUUUAAAGUCACCAUGAAAUCAAAACUGACAAUUCUUAUGGAAUAUUUCAGUACAUGCACAUUAUCAUUAUUGUUAUUUUAAUUCAUGUACUCUCGUAAUCUUCAAACAAAAUAACUUCCCCUCUCUCUUGCAGCAAUAUAUCUUCUCUGUUUAUGUGUUUACUGGCUCAAUGGCAGGGCAACCUGUCACUCACAAGCUUCACCAAUAGCAAACCACAACCAUCCAAUCAAUUCCCCAUGGACGAACUCAAAUCCCGCCCUACAUUUUUUCUUGUUCAAGAAGCCGUUUCACUUGGAUAUACAUCACAAUAGGGAAGAAUGAUGCAACUUUACGUUUCAUGCGGACUUUAAAAUUCAGUCUGGAACUUGGUGGAGAUUUGCUUUGCUCUAGGCAGGUGUACCCUACAUGUAUAUGGGUACAUUUGAGUGUAAAGUUACAGAGUUUCCAGGUUUAAACUAAAAUAUAAUUUUUUUUUGUUCACUCAGUUUUCCUUAAAAUUGCUUUUUGUGAUGCAUUUGUCAUGCAUUUGUCAUUAUUUCACCCAUAUUGCAGAAUAAGUUGAGAAUUCUGCAGAACUUGCUGUAAUUAGUAGAUCUGUGUGGAAACAGUUUCCUAAACUGCUACAUUUCCAAAAUGUAAGGCAAACACCUUUUUUUGAGUAUGUUAAAAGGUGAUGUAACUUCCUCUAUUCCAGAUUAAUAUGCAGCCCUACUGUACGUCAUCUGUAGGCUAAUUUCCCCCCAAAAAAUAAACACUGGGACUCUGUGGCACUAUAUUAAUAUUAAGACUGCAUCCUGACCGGCCCAACACAGAAACAUUGGCUCAACAAAUGGUGUGAGUUUGGGGUGGGAAUCUUGGGACUAUCAGGAGAAUAUGAUGUCAGUGGUGUAGCCCAUGGGUAGGCAACCUGGUAAUCGCUGGCACGUGAGUAAAAGCGAGAGAGGUGUAUGUAUUUCUACACAUGACCUUUCUAACGUGAUUACGUAAUGCGUGAACAUCACAGAACUAGUGCAAGAUGAGCAUUUGUGGUUAAAAAAUAUAUAUACAUUUUAAUUUUUUUUUUGAAAAUGACAGAUCGUUUCGCUAGAUAAGACCCUUAUUCCUCGUCUGGGAUCAUGUAGAGCCCUUUGAAGCUGCACUGAAACUGCAAUUUGGACCUUCAACCCGUUGGACCCCAGUGAAGUCCACUAUAUGGAGAAAAAUCCUGGAAUGUUUUCCUCAAAAACCUUAAUUUCCUUUUGACUGAAGAAAGAAAGACAUGAACAUCUUGGAUGACAUGGGGGUGAGUAAAUUAUCAGGAAAUUUUAAUUCUGGAGUGAACUAAUCCUUUAAGGUGCAUUCACACUACCAGCGACUUUGUCUCUGCAUAUGUAAUGGAGUUAAAAAGAACAUUCAUUCUAAUGAUUUUCAUGGUGUUGAAUUACAUGAAAUUAGAGGAUAAACUAAAUCAGAUGGUGUUUUGGUGCCCCCUAGUGGUUAAUGCAUUGCAGACAUUCUAUAUUGUGUCCUUGUACGCUUACCGUAGUUUAGCAGAAAAUGGCUGACACUGCUGCGGUGGUUUAUGUCUGCAGUGUUUACACCAUGUCUAAUAAUACAUUUUGAUGUAUUUCUCAGGAUCGUGAUCGCAACGUAGGCCAAGGUCAAUUGGAGCAUGUUUGCCAGGACACCAGUCGGCCAAAUGGAGUUAUACAUCUCUGUCUACACUCCCGUCAGGUGAUAUUUUUGGGGGAAGUUGUGUUUAUGCUCUUCGUUUGCGCUGCUGAGUGUCUGAUCUCUUGCCCACACACUGUUUUGAGAAGAUUUACACAACUUGUUGGUGUUAACCCCGGUUAACCCCACUGUUGAUCGCAAAAUGACCCCUGUCCCACAAACACAUUCUUACAAAUACAUGUACCCAUGAACUCUUGUACUCUACUGUGUUAUGACCAGAGCAGCUGUGGCAAACAUGCAGCACGUACAUCGUGGAUGGGGGAAUUUGAAGACCACUACACACAAGCAGACUACGGUGUUUUCAUGAUUGCUCAAAGAACGGAAUUUUGGUUUGAAUUUUGGUUGAUGAUUUGACUUUUAAAGGGCUUAUGCUGAAUGAGAUAUGGUUCAACUGGAUAUAAUUAUUACAAUUUUGAAAUUCUUCUGUGUGGAAAAGACCAUAUUCAGAAAAAAAUGUGAUUUUUUUUUUUUUUUUUUUUUUUUUUUCUUUCUUAAUACCAGGUGUUAGGUAGGAACACAAACUACCAUGUGUACAUACACUAACAGAUGACACAAAGUAUUCUGUUGGUCACGCUAUUCAAACGUCACUUUGCUGCCAUGACUACAACUUGUAUAUUGUACAAACAUUAUGAUAAGUUACGAUGAUUGUUAUGGCCAAGAACAUAAACAUAAUGGAGUAUGUUCCAGGAAGAAGUGGGUCAAGGCUGUGAGUGGGCAUUUGUGUAUAUAGCAUAUGUUUUUUUUUACAGUGUACAUCGCGCACACAUGCACGUUUGGGUACAGAAUGUUCAUUAGCACAAGACUCUCUCAACUUUUUCUUGCUUCACACAUUCCAGAGGUCUAUAAAACAAAAAUGGGAUUAAAUAUAAUUAUAAGAUCCUUGUGUAUGAGGAUUAUUGCUUUGUAUUGUAUUGUGUUGUAGUGUUUUUAACUGUGUAGUAGAUAAAAAAAAAAAGAUUUAGGUUCAUAAAUGAGGCAUAUGCUUUGAAAGUGUGUAUGGCAUUUUUAACUUUAUUGAUAAUAAAUGUAAUUAAAUACUGUA
This is a long non-coding RNA of Ctenopharyngodon idella (grass carp), 4600 nucleotides long. RefSeq lists it as uncharacterized. The record is from RefSeq and is a predicted model, not a curated record. The transcript has 3 exons. Lineage: Eukaryota; Metazoa; Chordata; Actinopteri; Cypriniformes; Xenocyprididae.